This is a long non-coding RNA of Equus asinus (donkey), 2148 nucleotides long. NCBI's taxonomy places the organism in Eukaryota, Metazoa, Chordata, Mammalia, Perissodactyla, Equidae. The record is from Ensembl.
CAACUCCGCCCCCCUCUUUCUCCCCACGUCGGUCGCUCCUCCAUCCCGACAUCUCCUUUCUCCCUGCAGAGGAACAGUUCGCCGCGUAGCAGCCGCUGGGGCGCUGGGAGCGGCGGGAAGGCUGGAAGAAGGCAGGCGCAGAGGCCCGGAGAGGCGGGAGCCAGGUCGCGGCCCCGCAGCUGCUCCGGUCUCACUCCGGGCAUUCUCGGUGGCAGCGCCCGGGCCUGGCCGCCGGCGCCGCGGGUGGGAGGACGGCGCCUGGAGCGGAGCCCGGAGGCGCGAAGAGGAGGAGCGGGUCUCAGCCCUGGGAGCGGGAACAGCGCAGACAAGCCGGGGAACCUCGGGGGCGGUGAGCGAGGGCUGGACAGCUCAGGUCACCGCGGGACCCCACUAGGGGACUACGGGGAACCGACCUCACCCGCGGAGCGCUGAGAAUAACCCAGUGGGCAUUCAAACUGGCGAGUCCGGCUGCGUUCCUGCGGCCCGCGCCCAGCCGAGCCCUGAUUGGCGUUCACCCAGCCAAUCAUAGCCUCAGGGCCUGAGGUGGGUGGGGCCGGAGCGGGCCGGGCGCGCCCGCGGAGGCGGACCCCGAGGACCCUGUCUUCUGGGUGCGCCAGAAACGGAGGGGGGCCGGUUGGCGCGUCCCGCUUCUCCGCGCCUCUUUGGAAGGCCACACCCGGGCCUGGAGACCUGGACAGAAGCGGACACUGCGACUCAAAACCCCAGGCUCAAUGGGAGAUGCCUACCGUGCAAAGUCCCGGAGCGCUGGCCUGGAGGAAGAGGGCGUCCCGCGCCUGUGCAAAUACCUGGAGAACGCGCGGGAGACGAUGCUGCUGCAGGCUUUCCCAGACUUUUCACCAGUGAUUCAAUGGGAGGAAACCAGGUCCCAGACUUGAUUAAAAACAAACAAAAAAACCCUAGGUGAGUGUGUAUGUAUGUGUAAAUGGUGCUACGCAAUGGUGUGAUUGGAUAGUCAAGGGGAUAACUACCUUGUGUGUAUAUGAGGAGCAAAUUUGGAAUCAAAGAAACUUGGUGUUGUCCCAAGACUAGAGUUCAUGGGAGGAAAAUCUGCAGGGCAGACUUCUAAGAGUGCAUUGUCUAAUGCCAGGCACUUCCGCCUCCUUUCUUCCAUUGUUUCCAGGUUCUACUUUGGGCUGGCAUUUAAAUUUUUAUACUAUUUCAAGUAUAAGGCCAAUGGUUUACUCUGGGAGCUUGCAGCCCCCUCUUCCACCCUGGCCUAACACAGGUCAUUCUCUCUUCACGGGUAUCGAAAGAGGGUAACAGCCUCGUCUUCAAGUAAAUAAAGGGAGGGAUUCAAAUUAUAAGGCAAAGGAAAAAUUGGUUCUUUGCUGUGGGGAAAAGUUGCUGAAAAUUAAAGAACAAUCUCCUGAGCUGAAGGGAGCUUUGGGUUUGGUAAUUUGGGGUGUGGGGCAGGCCUUCCAGAAUGCCAAGGGCGUCAAGACUAGUGUGUCUCUCCCUUAGUGUUUCCUUCCUCCAUUUGAGAGAGCUUUCUGGCAUAGAACAAAAAAAGGUUCACCCCUUCUUGUCUCUGCUGACACCUAGAUUCUUCUCAGCUGUAUGUCCGUGUUCCUAUUAGGGUAACACAGGAUGGAGGAAGAAUAGCUCAGUGGUCUUCCCUUCACAUCUCCCCUAAAAGCAUUGUGAAAUAUCAUGUGCCCCCUCCCACAGGCUUAGGUUGACCUGAAAUUCUCAGCGUGUGUUCAAAGAAUUGCAAAGAAUGUAAUUUACAACAUAUUAUAUAUAUAUAUCUAUAAACACGUUUAAAUAAAACUGUUAAUCACAUGUCCAAUGGAAUCUAAAUACCAUAACAUUUUGACACCCAUCGUUAAUUUUUUAAAUGCACAAUCUCUUUCUUAACAGUUGGAAAUUUUACACUGUUCCUUUUUUUUCCUUUGAAUUCAUAUUUUCAUUUUAUUCUCCCUAUAGAAUUUUUUUUUUUUGAAUUCUCAAGCCUGGCUGCAUCCUCAUGUAAUAUAUUCUUGUUCUUGGACUUCUUUUCUUGAUCCAUCUUUUGCAACAAAAUAUGUUCUUAAAGUGAAUUUUUUAUUCCUUGUUCUAAGUGUUUAAAAAGUCAUCUGGAUUAAGAUAAUAUUACAAUUAUUAGAGAUACACAGUUGAUCAAACAAU